GACGAACGCUGGCGGCGUGCUUAACACAUGCAAGUCGAGCGGUAAGGCCCUUUCGGGGGUACACGAGCGGCGAACGGGUGAGUAACACGUGGGUGACCUGCCCUUAGCUCUGGGAUAAGCCUGGGAAACUGGGUCUAAUACCGGAUAUGACUCCAUGACGCAUGUUGUGGGGUGGAAAGCCUUGUGCGGCUGAGGAUGGGCCCGCGGCCUAUCAGCUUGUUGGUGGGGUGAUGGCCUACCAAGGCGA
RNAcentral lists this ribosomal RNA (247 nucleotides) under uncultured Actinomycetes bacterium. RNAcentral describes it as "uncultured actinobacterium partial 16S ribosomal RNA". It matches the Rfam family "Bacterial small subunit ribosomal RNA", at positions 28 to 276 of the family's 1533-position model. Lineage: Bacteria; Bacillati; Actinomycetota; Actinomycetes. The record is from RNAcentral.